This 73-nucleotide transfer RNA is filed under the name Actinomyces sp. RNAcentral's name for it is "tRNA-Lys". It matches the Rfam family "tRNA". From Rfam's summary of the family: Transfer RNA (tRNA) molecules are approximately 80 nucleotides in length. Their secondary structure includes four short double-helical elements and three loops (D, anti-codon, and T loops). Lineage: Bacteria; Bacillati; Actinomycetota; Actinomycetes; Actinomycetales; Actinomycetaceae. RNAcentral also lists the same sequence under 1 other name. The record is from RNAcentral.
GGGCCUAUAGCUCAACUGGCAGAGCAACGGACUUUUAAUCCGUGGGUUCCGGGUUCGAGUCCCGGUGGGCCUA